This is a long non-coding RNA of Oncorhynchus keta (chum salmon), 284 nucleotides long. RefSeq lists it as uncharacterized. Lineage: Eukaryota; Metazoa; Chordata; Actinopteri; Salmoniformes; Salmonidae. The transcript has 3 exons. The record is from RefSeq and is a predicted model, not a curated record.
GUGAUGUUUAUAAUGUCUCAUCAGAACAGUGGGAGGUCCUGACUAGACGUUACAGUGAUGUUUAUAAUGUCUCAUCAGAACAGUGGGAGGUCCUGACUAGACAUUACAGUGAUGUUUAUAAUGUCCCAUCAGAACAGUGGGAGGUCCAGACAUUACAGUGAUGUUUAUAAUGUCCCAUCAGAACAGUGGGAGGUCCUGACAUUACAGUGAUGUUUAUAAUGUCCCAUCAGAACAGUGGGAGGUCCAGACAUUACAGUGAUGUUUAUAAUGUCUCAUCAGAACAG